Acanthochromis polyacanthus (spiny chromis) is the source of this 1083-nucleotide long non-coding RNA. RefSeq lists it as uncharacterized. NCBI's taxonomy places the organism in Eukaryota, Metazoa, Chordata, Actinopteri, Pomacentridae. The record is from RefSeq and is a predicted model, not a curated record. The transcript has 3 exons.
CAGAAGAUACUGUGAUUGUUGGAUGAGUGGAGUGUGGACAGGAGGAGGACAGGGGAGGGUGGAAGAUGGUGGAGCUCAAACCACCUGCAGCUGAGCACCUCCAAGACCAAGGAGAAGGUGGUGGAUUUCAGGAGGAAUAGACCUCAUCUCCAGCCUUUUUACAUCAUGGGCACGGAUAUGGAGGUGGUCAGGACCUACAAGUACCUGGGACUGCAGCUGGACCAUAAACUGGACUGGUCGUCUGUACUUCCUGAGGAGACUGGGCUCCUUCAACAUCUGAUGUGCUGCCAUCCAAACCUGUCCAGGUGAGCAAGCAGGAAGUGGAAGAGUCUAAAGGUCCCACAUGUCCAAGUCCUUGUGGCGUUUACGCCCAUCUCCCACUGGAGGCGAAGCUCCUGCUGAUGCUGUAGACGUUGGCGGAGCUCCGAUGUUUCCCCCAGGCGCCCAACGGAACGAUGACGAUGGUGGCGUUGUCUUCCGAGCCGUACUGCAGCGCCUGGAAGACAGAUCCGUGUUUCGUAACUUCUAAUGUUCACUGGAUCAAUGCAAUAAAUGCAGCAUGGCUCAGAAACAGUGAACAGAGGGACAAGUUGUUGGAGAUACACCCCCUCUCAAAAGUUUUGAGACGGGUUCUAAUUUAUUUGAAUGAGAAAGUGUCUCAAAACUUUUGACAGAGGGAAUACAUCCAUCAUGGUGAAACAUCUUUCUAAAGCUGAUGACUAGAGCAGAGAGAAAAGUCUGUAGAGGCUGGAAACAUGGAAAUAGUGGAGGUAACAUUUAUAUAAGUGGUUGAAACAUCUGUAGAAACACGUUGGACAUGUUGAUUCCAGGUUUUUACAGUUUUGAUGAAUGUAUAAUCAAAUAAAUGCUUCUUUUCCCGAUUUCUGUCAUUCUAACUGUGUCAUUCAUGGUUGUUCUAUUUCCAAUGAGUUGCAGGACUUUAUAUUGUCAGAAGUUUAUUGCAGUUGUUGAAUAAAAUGUUGCACUCUCAGAAACAAAUGGUGCUCUGGGAUUAUUUUGUGUCAAUUCAAAUUCAAAUUUAAGCAAAAUAUGACGAGUUCAACUAAAAAAGUUUACAGCAAA